CCGCAGUGUGUUCCACAGGGGCCUCCCCUGGUCCUCAGAUCACAAACAGACGGUUUCUUAGGUUUUUUGGGCUCUUUUCCCUCCAUGCCUGCUGGCACUUCUGGGCCUUGGGCUGUGUAGGAUUUGAGAAGGUCACCACGAUGCGGGUGCGGGAACUUGGGGCCUCUGUGGUGACCCCGUACUGCCUGGCUGUGACGGACGGUCUGAGAGCCGUGGCCUUUGUGUGGAGCUGGCAGAAGCAGCUCCUGUUCACGGGCACUCGGGACGGCUCCUCGUGCAGAGGCCUGGGGGCCGUGCGCCGGGCCUUGUCCCCUGUGGGGACCCUGAGCCGGCAAGCCCCCGCCGAGGUGAGGUGACUUCGACGCCCCCUUGGCCUCAGCCCCCUCCCCCGCCAGGGGCCCUGGGGGAUUUCAUCAGGCUUCAGACAAUGGCCCUGCUCUAGUGAAACUGACGGAGGAAGAGGCUAGGGCCACAGCUGCCAACUCCCAGCUCCACAAACUCAAAGUUAAGUGGGAACACUUUGGGGAAGGAGAAAUAGCCCCACACAGAAAGCACGCCCACCUGGUGGGUGGGGCCGGGCCACGGCCGCCUCGCUGGCUCUGUGCACCGUCAGUAUACUUUCCAGUUUUUGCCUUAGGAACCACUCACUGAGAUUCUUCAAUGACAGAGCGACCAGCUUGGACACGUUCCUGGGAUCUGCUGCCUGCGACUGCGCCCCUCACCCCCACCCCAUUCCUUGGCCCCAUGACUCGUUCUAUUUUGAUGACCCUGCCAUUCUGUGACUUUGGGUAAGAGGCCCUUAUUCUAGGGAUUUCUAUCCCAUUUUAUGAACAAGCCAGGAGAAUUCAGAGGGGUGAACUCUGAAAGGUUUGCAAGUGGAGCCGUCACGUCUCUUGUCCGAUGCAUCCAAGUCGGAUGGCCCAGGUGAUUCCUGGAGACAGCAGGAUCCCCUGUCCCCCUCACCAGCCAGGGGAGCGCCACCCUCAUCCUGGCCCUGGGGACCCUCGGCUGAGUCUUGCUUUUCUCCGGAAAGAAAGUGUGCAGGAGAGGAGUGCGACCUGGGACUCGUUCUUCCGUUCAGCGGAUGUGGGACAACGUCAGGCCAAUGCCAGGUCCACCAGCGAGGUGUCUGCAACCAGCUGGAUCUGCCACAGGUGACUCAUUCGGCCGUCGCUGCCUCACAUGGGCCCGGCCAUGCACUAAAGAUACGAGGCCACUGGAAGAGAUGCACUGAUGGCCCUGGUGGUCCGUGUCGGGGUGGAGGCCUAGGUAGGAUCAGUCACCCACAGGAUAAGCUAAGGCUAGGACCAGUCCAGAGAUGAGAGGAGGUGCCACUCCACCCCAGGGCUCGGCAAGUAGGGGCUGGGGCUGGGGCUGUGGCCAGGGAAGAUGGCCUGGGUGCUAUUGGCAUGGAAAUCUGAGAGGAAUGGGCCAUCCCAGGUGGAGGAGGGGGACCGGAGCGUUCUGGGCGAGUCUUCGAAGGUCAGACAAGGGGCCUGUUCCAUGGAGUCAGAGCAGGCUGGCAGGGAGGGGGCAGUUGGGGGCGAGGCCCAAGAACCAGCUGGGGCCCAGCGACCCAGGCCUUUCUCCACCCAGCCCUGGGCUGCAGAAGGAGCCUGAUGCGGGGAGAGCAGCCCCUGUGCUGGCCAGGCAGCUGGCUGGGGCUGGCUCAGAUGCAGGGCUGCUUGGAGGCGGCCGGCGCUGUCCAGGCGGGAGGGGCUGUCUUAGGUCAGGUGCUGAGUCUGGGAGCUCUGCAGGGCUGGAUCGGACCCCGGAUUGGGGGGCUGGGCCUGGGAGCAGGAAGCCUGCAGCCCGGUGCUGAGGCCUGAGGCCGAACCCUGGGGAGGGACUGCUGACGACACUGGCAUCUUCUCACGCUUCCUGUGAUGAGAACACGGAAAAUCAACCCUCUCUUUUCACAAGUUGUUCACUUAUUUGAAAGGCAGAGUGACAGAGAGAAAAGGAGGGAGGGAGAGAGGAGAGGGCCUAGGUGUCUACAGCAGCUGGGCCCGGGCCCAGUACUGGGACUCAAGCGCUUGGCCGUCACUGCUGCCUCCCGGGCGCGCACUGUCAGCCCCAGAAGCAGGUCUGGGACUCUGAGUAGGCUCUGCAGUAGGGGUACGGCUGACCCAAGCACCGUCCCAGCCGGGCACCAGGCGCCCAGCCCCCAAUCUCUCUCUGCCAGCCUUUAGGGACACAGCGCGUUAUCAGCUGUCAUUCAACGUCAAGGCCGUGCAGUAACGAACCUCUUGAACUUGUCCGUCUGGUCUCUCUGAAGCUGUGACUGGCAGGUGCCAGGCCCUCUCUGCUUCUGUGGCUCUGACUGUCGCAGACCCCACGUCUAACUGGGAUCAUCAGUGUCUGUCUGUCGGGGCCAGAUGUCCACGUUCAGGAGUCUCCUAACCCGUCACCCUCUGCCUCAUUAGGGCUUCGAGUGGACGGCAUGGCCUUCUACAUUGUACCCCACGGGUGGGGCAGGCGUUGUUGUCAUCACAGCUCUCAGAGGGAAGGAGACCCAGAGGUCAAGGCUCUCGUCCCAGAGCUGGCAGAGCAAAGGAUGUGCGUUGGCGUCGGCGCCUCCUGACUACCACCCGCCGUGCGCCCAGUGUGUGCGGGGCUCCUCUCCAGUUUUCCGCCUCUACUGGGUUGAAUAGCGCCCUCCCCUGCAGGACGAGGCUCGGAACGCGGGGUCCCAGCUGACGUCAUUCGUGAGGACGCGGUCACACUGGACGCAGCCUGGUGCUGAUGCCGUCAUACAAAAGCCGUGCGAGGACACGGCGGGAUCCACAGAGAGGGGGCGGUGGGGGCAGAGGUGGGAGGGACACAGGCACAGGUGGAAGCAGUGGCACAGCCGUACCAAGGUCUAGCCUGCCCCCCCCCCCCCCCCCCGGGGCCGGGAGAGAGGCCUGGGACGAAGCCCUUCAGGCCCUGCAGCGGGGCUUUGAACUUGUGGCUUCCAGGACCACGAGGAAAUAGGCCUCUGUUGGGGAAGCCGCCUGGCUAUGACCGCCCUUGGAACCUCCUGUUGGCCCUGUCUGGGUGGGGGUUGGGCCCCCUCCCCGCCCCUGGAGUGGACCGGGCACACAGGGCUGAGCAGGCCCCUCAGUGACAGGCGCAGCACCCACUCCCGCCCCAGUAAGAACGAGCUCCAAGACCUUUCUGGAUUGUUCCGCGAGAGGAGCUUUGCUCAGCCGGUCCGGCCCACCUGCGGCCUUUUGGUCACUUCUGUGGCUGCACACAGAGCCUGCCCGAGAGGAAAGAACCGAGACGGGGGAGGCCGAGUGGACAGUGAGAGAGAGAGACAGAGAGAAAGGUCUUCCUUUGCCGUUGGUUGACCCUCCAAUGGCCACCGCGGCCGGCGCGCUGAGGCCGGCACACCGCGCUGAUCCGAUGGCAGGAGCCAGGGGAUGGUGUCCGGAUGGCUUCCCAGGCGCUCCCUGGAUUCCUCUGUGAGCUGCCCUGGGAACAAAAGGCAGAGUGGACAGUGAGAGAGAGAGACAGAGAGAGAAAAGUCUUCCUUUGCCGUUGGUUCACCCUCCAAUGGCCACCGCGGCCGGCGCGCUGCGGCCGGCGCACCGCACUGAUCCGAUGGCAGGAGUCAGGAGCCAGGGGAAAGACAAGGGGCAAGAGGCUUCCCCUCCCAGCUGACCCGGCGCCCUUGAAAGCGACUCCUCAGCCGUCUCGCCCAGCACCGCCUUUCUGGCAGACCAACGGCACGCGGCACGAAUCCCGAGGUCUGUUAUCAGGAGAGAAGCACAGAGCGGACGCCGGCUCUGCCGCCAUGGAAUGUUUGGAGGAACGUCAAGUCCUUGGUGCUGCCAGACAGGGAGCGUGGUGCAGGCUCGGCGCCCGGCAGUGCAGGGAAGGGGCCGGCACGGUGGAUCCCGCCAUGGGGUGGGGGUCGGGGUGUGCAGGCAGCAGGCGGCAUCGCCCAGCCGUCAGUCCUGAUCCCCCUCCGCCCUCCUCCCCGCCUUCUCCACGUUCCCCUCUCCCUUCCCACCCCACCCUCUCCUUGAACGGCUGCAAGGUCAGAGGGAGGAGAGGUGGGGGCACCCUGGUUACCACAAGCAAGAGUGCGAGGAGCAGGACUGGGCUUGGGUACGGGGGAACUUGAUGGCAGCAGGAGGGAGUGCGGGAGGCGGCUUCCACCGGGGGCCAGGAUAGAGAAACCCACUUGGCGUAGGUGUGUGUCGGGGCAGGCGGUGGCGCAGUGCUGAGGCCGCCGGUUGCGAUGUCGGCCUCCCACCUCAGCCUGCCUGGGUUCAAGUCCUGUCUCCGCUCCUGGUCCCGGCUCCCUGGUCGAGCACCCCUGGGGAGGCAGCAGGUGGAGGCUCAAGGAAUUGGGUUCCUGCCGCCCACGUGGGAGGCCUGGACUGAGUCCCUGGUCCCCAGCUUUGGUCUGGCACAGCCCUGGCCGUUGCGGGCCUCUGGGAAGUGAGCCAGCGGAUGGAAGAUCUCGCUGUCUCUCUGCCUUUUAUAUAAACGAAAUGCUUUGAAAAAAGAGGAGGUGGGGAAGGAAGAGAAGCGUUGGCUCCAGGCCAUGGAGUAGCGGAUGAUGCAGGGACCUGUGACUGUGUCUGCAGGGAACUGGGCCUUCUGUGUUGCGUUUUAAAGAUUUUAUUUAUUUAUGUAUUUAUUUGAGAGGUAGAGUUACAGACAGAGAGGGGGAGAGACAGAGAGAGGUCCUCCAUCUGCUGGGUCACUCCCCAAAUGGCUGCAAUGGCCAGAGCUGAGCCCAUUGGAAGCCAGGAGCCAGGAGCUUCUUCCAGGUCUCCCAAGCAGGUGCAGGGGCCCUCUACUGCUCUCCCAGGCCGUAGCAGGGAGCUGGAUCAGAAGAGGAGCAGCCGGGACACAACUGGUGCCCACGUGGAUGCCGGCGCCACAGGCGGAGGCUCAGCCCACGACGCCACAGGCGGCCCUGCGCUCGCAUUUUAACUGUGUCCCCUGGAUGCAGGGCAGAAGCCGACAGCCCGGUCUGCUGGUGCUCCUCCAGCGAAUCCCCUGCUGUCCGCUGUGUGGAAUCCCCGGAGUCAUUUCUUCACGCAGCACUUGGGAGGGCUGCCUGCAGCGCUCCUCUUCUCCGUGAGCGGAAGUCACCCAGCCGCCGGCCUGCCUUCCUGGCCAGGCUCCCAGGAAACAUCAAGGCCCACGGCUGGGCUGCUCGUGUCCCAUUUCCCCGGUAGCUAAUGGCUCAGCUGACGUUUCUGUCUGAGCAUGGCGGGAAUCCCGGCUAGAAAGGAUGAGCACCGGGUGCCUGCACCAAUGGGUGCCUGGGAGUCCUCGCAGGGUGGGGGCCCCAGUAGCCACCAGGGCCUGGGUGGGAGGUGGUGUGGUCGGGGGAGAGGGCGGGCAUUCACAACGUGACACCUGAAUGACGGGACACCUGCUAGCACAUCAAUUUCACCAGCGUGAGGGCAGAUGGCUGGGUGUGUGCAUGGCCCUGGGGAAGACAUUCACUGUCCUGGGAGCUGAGCCCUUGGGCUGCCCUUUGUCAACUUUUCCCAGGCUUAGCUAUUAACUAGGGAUCAGGGUCAAGAGGGGGCAUCACCCAGGCUAGUCUCUUUUCUGAAAUCUUUUUUUUUUUUUUAAAGAUUUAUUAGUUUAUUUGAAAGUCAGAGUUACACACAGAGAGAAGGAGAGGCAGAGAGAGAGAGAGAGAGAGAGAGAGAGAGAGAGAGAUAAAGAGUCUUACAUCCCAGAUGACCGCAAUGGCUGGAGCUGCGCUGAUCUGAAGCCAGGAGCUCCUUCUGAGUUUCCCACGAGGGUGCAGGGGCCCAAGGACUUGGGUCAUCUCCUACUGCUUUCCCAGGCCAUAGCAGAGAGCUGGGUCGGAAGUGGAGCAUCCGGGUCUCAAACCGGCGCCCAUAUGGGAUGCCGGCACAGCAGGUGGCGGCCUUACCUGCUACACCACAGCGCUGGCCCUGACGUCUUUUGAUUUCCGUCGCGAUCGCUUGUCUCCCUCACCCUGCUCUUCCUAGGGAGACCUGUUGUCUUCUAAACAAAUCGAAGCCUUGCUUUGGUGGGAAGACGCUGGUCACCGUGUCACCUUCGGGGUGACAGUAAGAGGAUUUGGGGGGGGGGAACCAGGCAGUCUCGGCUCCGCCCCACGCUGCCUGUCUCGUCGCCCGCUGGCCAGCUCUGUCCUGUGGGCCUCACUUCCCUCCAGGGUGCAGUAAGAAUCCAACAGCCGCAGAGGUCUCUCAGUGCCGCCCUGGUGCAUUGAGGUUCUCCAAUAACGUGUUUCCACGCUGUGGGAAUGCAUGACAACGGCAGGGCUGGCUCCGGGCUCACCGUCUGAGAUGCCGUCUGGGACGCCCUGUAUUUGUGGCCAGGCAGAACGGUGAGAAGCUGAGACGAAAGAGGAUUUCUGGAAGUAUGCUCUUAGUGCAGUCUGCUGUUUCCUGUUCCCUAACCCUGUUCUCAAACGUCUUUGGCCUUGAGAAUCCCUCCCCCUACCCGUGGCACCUGCUAGCAACCCGGGCCACACCACUAAGGCUGUCCAAACACAGACCGGAGAGGCCCGUCUGGGAUGGUGAGCCCCGUCGGCAGCUCCCUUCUGAGUGGCAGGAGGCGAGGCUGGAAACCCACACGUGUGGCCGCCACAUGGUGUUGCUGCUGAUACCACGGGGGAAGCACGUUUGGACAGAAAAAUGAUGUAACGCCUCGAGCGCAGCUUCAAGGAGAGGCGUCCACAGCCGUGACGUCUGACAGCGGCAGGCACAGGAGCAGGGAGCUGGAUCGGAAGUGGAGCAGUGGGGGUGUGAACCAGCGCCAUAUGGGAGAUGCUGCUGCCGCCAGCCAUGGCUUAACCCGGUGAUCCACAGCACCGGCCCCAUCAGCACCUACUGCUUAAAGAAGACAGGUGCGAGAUGAGUCAUUUCAGUCUACGUUGAAGCAAUGGCUCCUUCCAGACCUUCCAUAAACAGAGCUCCGAGCGGUGUAGUAGCCAUUUUGCCCAGGCCCAGGCCCUGGAUAAGAUGCAGCUGGCAGAACCCUCACCUCCGCGUCCUCCCAUCCAUCCCAGACCGACUGUGAGGUGAACAACAGGCCCCGCCCAGGCGGGGACCCUCUGUGGAGUGCCCGCUUGGGGGCUCUCAACUCUGAGUCGUCCAAACAAGGGGGAUCUGUGUACAACAAGGGCUUACAAAAUUCAGUCUGGACCUGUCUGGCCGUCCACGGUGGUGAAAUGGAUUUGAAAUCCUGGGACGUGCACUCCAGGUCUCUCUCUCCAGCUUGGGGCCCUGAGCAAGGUCACACUUGGCAACACCUGUACGGGGGCAUUUCAGGAAGUCCACGGCAAACGGAGCAAACAUGGAAAUUCAUACAUUUAGAAAUCCGUGCAUUGCAGAAGUCUUCAAAAAGUUCAUGGAAAAUAAGAUUUUGGAAAAUUAAA
Oryctolagus cuniculus (rabbit) is the source of this 7393-nucleotide non-coding RNA. The record is from RefSeq and is a predicted model, not a curated record. Lineage: Eukaryota; Metazoa; Chordata; Mammalia; Lagomorpha; Leporidae.